This 253-nucleotide ribosomal RNA is filed under the name uncultured bacterium. RNAcentral's name for it is "partial 16S ribosomal RNA". It matches the Rfam family "Bacterial small subunit ribosomal RNA", at positions 524 to 776 of the family's 1533-position model. The record is from RNAcentral.
UACGUAGGGUGCAAGCGUUACUCGGAAUUACUGGGCGUAAAGCGUGCGCAGGCGGUUGUGCAAGACAGGUGUGAAAUCCCCGGGCUCAACCUGGGAACUGCAUUUGUGACUGCACGGCUGGAGUGCGGCAGAGGGGGAUGGAAUUCCGCGUGUAGCAGUGAAAUGCGUAGAUAUGCGGAGGAACACCGAUGGCGAAGGCAAUCCCCUGGGCCUGCACUGACGCUCAUGCACGAAAGCGUGGGGAGCAAACAGG